Long non-coding RNA from Beta vulgaris subsp. vulgaris (sugar beet), 860 nucleotides. RefSeq lists it as uncharacterized. The record is from RefSeq and is a predicted model, not a curated record. The transcript is spliced from 2 exons. Lineage: Eukaryota; Viridiplantae; Streptophyta; Magnoliopsida; Caryophyllales; Amaranthaceae.
CAGAAUUAUAAAAGACUAAACCGAGUUUAUUUAUACCUAGUUAUGCUAUACUAUAAAUAGGAGAGAAAAAAAUUCAAAAACCCUAAUCUUCUCUCUCAGCCGUCACUCCUAAUUCCUCUCUCUCUCUCUCUCAAUCUCUCCCUCCCUCUCAGCCGUUUCUCUCUAACCCCCUCUUCCCUUUCUUCGUCUCCCUCGUUGUGUUCCUUCUCGGAACCUCGUCGAGGUGUGCGAGUGGCGUUGUAGUGUGUGCGAGCGAGGGUGCAGGCUGCGGGAGACGAGCGACGGGUGGCGCGAGUGUGUUUGCGAGUCGAGUGUUGUGCGGUUUGUGCGAAGGUGUGUGCAAGGAUCAUGUGCGAGACGAGCAAGCGAUGGACGACGAAUUGUUCGUGCUACUGGUGCGAUUGUGUGUGUGGUGGUACAAAGGCUGGUACGAUGAGCGUCUUGUUGUGCGCGUUCGAAGGUUAGGCGAGCGAACAACUUGUUCGACAGUCGGAGGGAGUGCAAAGUGGCGUGCGACGAUUCGAGCAUGGUGCGAAGGCUUGUGCGAGGUGCUGUGCGAAGUCACGGGGGUGUGCGACGAGUGCGGGAGUUGCGAGCGGUAGUGCGCGAGUGUGGUGUUGCGCCGUUGCCGGAAGUCGGUUGCCGGCGAGCUUAGCGACUAGGUGUAUUGGUGCUGCUGCAUGAUACCGAGCUUACGGGGAAUAGUCUUUAGUAUUUGAACCUUAAAGCAUUUUAAUUAAGUACUAUAAGAUUUACUAUGAUUUACUUAUUUGGUUUGUGGUUUGAAUAAAAGGGGUCGUUGAUGAUUCCCGAGUUGUAGUUACACUUUUAUUUCCGCUGCAUUUCAAUUUUCGAGACAA